This 336-nucleotide ribosomal RNA is filed under the name uncultured bacterium. RNAcentral's name for it is "bacterial SSU rRNA". It matches the Rfam family "Bacterial small subunit ribosomal RNA", at positions 33 to 355 of the family's 1533-position model. The record is from RNAcentral.
ACGCUGGCGGCGUGCCUAAUACAUGCAAGUCGAACGCUCUUUUCUUAUCGAACUUCGGUUCACCGAGAAAAGGGAGUGGCGAACGGGUGAGUAACGCGUGAGAAACCUGCCUUUCACAAAGGGAUAGCCUCGGGAAACUGGGAUUAAUACCUUAUGAUACUUCAAAUUCGCAUGAAAUUGAAGUUAAAGCGUAAAGCGGUGAAAGAUGGUCUCGCGUCCCAUUAGUUAGUUGGUGAGGUAACGGCUCACCAAGACCGCGAUGGGUAGCCGGCCUGAGAGGGUGAACGGCCGACACUGGAACUGAGACACGGCCCAGACUCCUACGGGAGCAGCAGU